Molecule: non-coding RNA, 94 nt
Organism: Mycena latifolia
Lineage: Eukaryota; Fungi; Basidiomycota; Agaricomycetes; Agaricales; Mycenaceae
Source: the annotation of a GenBank genome assembly
GGCAAAUUGGUGGUGGAGUGGUAACACACCUGCUUUACAUAUCCAGGUACCAUCUUUUCAGCAGAAGAUCCUUGUUCGAUUCAAGGUCAGGCCA